RNAcentral lists this ribosomal RNA (419 nucleotides) under bacterium. RNAcentral describes it as "partial 16S ribosomal RNA". It matches the Rfam family "Bacterial small subunit ribosomal RNA", at positions 355 to 776 of the family's 1533-position model. The record is from RNAcentral.
UGGGGGAUAUGGCACAAUGGGCGCAAGCCUGAUGCAGCGACGCCGCGUGGGGGAUGUAGGCCUUCGGGUUGUAAACUUCUUUUGCUCUGAACAAGGCGCACUUUGGGGUGUGUUGAGUGUAGGGGUUGAUUAGCGCCGGCUAACUACGUGCCAGCAGCCGCGGUAAUACGUAGGGCGCGAGCGUUGUCCGGAAUUAUUGGGCGUAAAGGGCUUGUAGGUGGCUGGUUGCGUCUGUCGUGAAAGCUCAUGGCUUAACUGUGGGUUUGCGGUGGGUACGGGCUGGCUUGAGUGCAGUAGGGGAGGCUGGAAUUCCUGGUGUAGCGGUGGAAUGCGCAGAUAUCAGGAGGAAUACCGGUGGCGAAGGCGGGUCUCUGGGCUGUUACUGACACUGAGGAGCGAAAGCAUGGGGAGCGAACAGG